CCUCUAAUUGGUCAGUUGCUUUGUGCUCCCAUUUGCUAAGACCAACUAACGCGGGUUCUUCAAGGAGCUGUGUCAACUUGCCAUGGCCUGUUUGUAAAACGUUUAAACUUGAUUGAUGCAACAAGAAUGUCUUCAGUUGAUAUGUACCGCGUUCUCGGCACACUACGUUCUCUUUAUGGCCAUGUACAGACAUUGAGGGAAUUUGUGGACGGAAUUGAGUUCCAAGAUGGACACAGGACCGUUCUCGUAAAACAAACGGACACAAACCGCUUCAAAACCUUCGUGCGGGACGUUUUUGUUUGCUGCAACGGGGAGCGACCGCAGGCGCCAAGCAGACACCAGAUCUGCACAUUAUCUGAGCUACUGGCCUUCGUUCUCAACAGCCUGAAAAGAAAAAGGAAACGAAACAUCUUAAUACGUGGCUACAGUCUGCUGCACAGGGCUGAGAAGGAGCGUGAUGCUGACCACUUCAAAUUCCAAGGGGAUAUCAGUCAAAAUGCCUCCUACAUCCUCGGCAGCGACCAUUGGAAGACGAUCACCAUGCGCCUCGGCACUGACCUCGCACGCUACCUGCUGGAGAGCUGCUCUGUGUUCAUAGCCGUCCCUCCUUCCUGUGCCUUCCAGUUGUGCGGCGCUCCUGUUUAUGACCGGGUCUCCAUGACGACAACCCCCUCGGUGUUUUCCCUCCAGGCUCGAUCUGGACAACAUCGUAAUGCAGUGGCUGUGAAAAGGAAACGCGAUACCGGGACUAAGAAAAAAAGGUGCUGGAUGGAUGUGAUGAUGCAGAGCAGGAAAAGGAAGAGAGAGGAAGAGGAGAUGGUUGGUUCCCAUAAGAGGAGACGUGUAGGAGAGCAUGCAGCCAGGCAGGAAGUGGAGCCUGUGGGAAGCAUCUCUGACCAAGCAGCAGAAAAAAACACGACUCCUUUGGAAGGAGGUCCUAGUUGGAGAACAGGGAAUUUCCCCCCCUUGCCUACCUCGCAGUGCUUUAUACGCACCUUGGCGUUCCUCUAUGGCGGCAAGGGCAUGCAUGGUUUUCUUCUCAACAGGACGAACGGAUCUAGAAGACUAAAAGGUCAGGAUUUGGUCAGAGUAGUCUUCUUUGAAGGACUGGCGUACCUCAAUGGGUUCAGGAGCAACCCACAGAGACUCCCCCAGCGCUUCUUUCACAUGAUUCCCCUCUUUAGCCGACUGUUGCGUCAACACAGGAGGUGUCACUACAGCAGUAUACUGCAUAGGACGUGUCCUCUAUUGGCGAGAGAUGAGUCAAAAGAGGAGUUCAGCUCACUUUUGUCCCAAUAUUGUGUACCUCACCGUGUGUACCUGUUUGUAAGGAAGUGCCUGCUCGCUGUCGUCCCAUGGCAGUUUUGGGGCUCGGAGGAAAACCGGUGCCAUUUUCUUGCACGUGUUCGAGGCUUCUUGCACAGCAGCAAGUUUUACAAACUUUCACUUGCUGAACUGAUGUGGAAAAUGAAGGUGAAUGACUGCGAUUGGAUGAAGAUCAGCAAGAAAGGUCGGAUCCCGCCCAGUGAGCUUGCAUAUCGGACUCGGGUACUCGGUCAGCUGCUGGCUUGGCUUCUGGACGGCUAUGUGGUUGGCCUGGUACGAGCCUGUUUCUACGUCACAGAGAGUGUCGGUCAAAAGAACGCCCUGAGGUUCUACAGGAAGGAUGUUUGGACCAAAGUGCAGAACCUGGCCCUGAGAGCUCAUGUCUCUAAGAGGUACAUGAAGGAGUUAACGCCGACCGAGGUGAAAUCACUGCCUAAAAGCACCGUCUUCUCCCGUCUGCGCUUCAUCCCAAAGAAGGAUCGCAUGAGGCCCAUCACUCGGGUUUUGCGAGCAGACGCCCAGGCCAGGUUCUUACAAGCGCAUGUGCGUGAUGUGAGGGAUAUACUGUGGGCCUGCGUGCAGGCCGACCCAUCCCUGCAGGGAUCCACAGUGUGGGGGCUGAAUGACAUCCAUAAGGUUUUGUCCAAUUUUGCUCCAGACCAGACGGAGACGCAAAAGCCCUUCUUUUUUGCUAAGGUGGACGUCAGCGGCGCUUUCGACAGUCUGCCUCAUAACAAACUUCUCGGUGUGAUUAAGAAUGCACUGUCACCUGUCCAAGACGAGCCUGUUACCGUACGCAGCUAUGCCAAGGUCUGGGCGGACUCCCACGAGGGCCUGAGGAAGUCCUUUGUUCAACAGGCUGACUUCCUACACGAUGACAUGGGAUCCAACAACAUGAAGAGCUUUGUGGCAGCACUGCAGAGAUCCGGCAGCGUUCAUCACUCCAUACUGGUGGAGCAGCACUGUUCAUCACAAACUAAUGGAAAAGAGGUCUUGGACUUCUUUCGCAAAAUAUUGACAAGCAGUGUUGUACAGAUUGGGAAGAAAACAUACCGUCAGCAUCGAGGGAUUCCUCAGGGGUCCGUUGUGUCCAGUUUGCUCUGCUGUCUCUGCUACGGUCACAUGGAGAAGACGAUGUUCACUGGCACGACUGGCAGGAAAGGACGAUUGAUGAGGCUGGUGGAUGAUUUCCUUCUGAUCACCCCUGACCUCAAAGAGGCACAGAACUUCAUCAAACUCUUGCUCACCGGCAUCCCCGAGUAUGGCGUGGUCACCAAUCGGGGGAAGGUGGUGGUCAACUUUAAAUUGUCAGAAGACCUGGUUAGCACCGGCAUCCACACUCUACCCGCCCACUGCCUCUUCCCCUGGUGCGGCUUGUUGCUGGACACGCUCUCACUCGACGUCCAUAAAGAUUAUUCCAGCUACGCAGGCCUAUCGCUGCGUUACAGCCUCACUCUGGGAUCUUUCCGCUCAGCCGGGGAGCAUAUGAGGAGGAAGCUGAUGAUGAUCCUCAGACUCAAGUGCCAUCCCCUCUUCUUGGACCUGAAGAGAAGUUCCUUGGCGGUGGUCUACAAGAACAUCUACAAGGUGUUUCUACUCCAUGCAUUCAGAUUCCAUUUGUGUGCACAGAGUUUACCCUUUGGCCAAACGGUUGCCAAGAACCCAGUCUACUUCCAGCAGAUGAUACUGGACAUGGGCUACUACGCCAAACAGCUCUUCAGGCGUAGCAACAAAGACUGCAUGGACCUAGCUAGCUUGGUGCCGCAAGAGGCAGUGGAGUUGCUUGUCUGCCUUUCCUUUUUGCUGGUGUUGUCGCAGCAUCGCCCCGUCUACAAGCAGGUGCUGCCCCGGCUGCAUGAAUGGAAGCAUAGUCUGGAAUGCCAUCUGGAGGAUUUCAAGCUGGCCUUCGUGAGAAAAGCCGCCAGACCACGUAUCCCUGUGGAGUUUUUGGCCAUCAAAAUGACCAAUCUCGUGACACUCCUGGCAGGAUUGAAAAGAGCAGAAGAAACGAGUACUUUUUCAUCCCAUAGAUGUAAACGACUCCGAUAACCUCGAAAAAUGCGAUAAUGAGCAGGGGGAUGGAGCCCACGUAGCUGUUGAAGACCUCCACCCAGUAGUUCCCAGAGCCCAUGGUGAAGAUGAGGGAAAUGGAUAAGGAAAGCAGGCAGAAGAACCCUGAAAAAAGUCACAAACCGGGAAAAAAAAAAACGAUUUACAAAUUUUGAUUCGCAAAGGACUUAAAAAAAAAAAAAGUCAUUUUCAGGUACCUGUCACAAGUUCAUUGGGCACUGACUUAGGCAACAGGUGGAGGUCAGCAAAGGGUUUCAGGACCCCUUCGAAAUUGCCAAACAUGGAGGACAGGCCCAAGCUGAACAGCAUCAGGAAAAACAAUACCGCCCAUAACUGCGAUCCGGGCAUCUCCAGCACUGCUUCGGUGAAUAAGAUAAAAGCCAGGCCGGUUCCUGAAGCGCUCUGGGAUGUAAAGAAUACAUACAUUGAACAUUCCUGUUGAUUCUAAAACUGCUCGUAUGCGGCAUACAUCCAGUGCACGGGUCUCAAACACAGGGAUGGUCAGAGAAACAAAGACAGAACACGGUGCAAGUGCCGCAAGUCAUGCUGGGAAGCCAGACGCUGUCCAUUGGAUCAGUUGUCCUUGUUUUGGCCCAAACUCUACCUCUCAACAUCCCCCAGCUGCAGGCUUGAGAGCUCAGCAGGACUGGUGCGGUUCAGAUGCUCCACCCAUUGGUCGUAGUUCUCGGUUGUUAUAUUCUGGUCGGAAAACUCAAAGUGGCACGUGUUAAAGGCGUUGUUGGCUUUAAAGCCCAGGAUGGCAAAGAUGGAGAUGGCCGCGUAGAGGGAUGUGGCGCUGUUUAUUAUUCCCACAGCGACUGCAUCCUUUUCACAGUUGUUUCUAAACACCCAAAAUGGCAGGAAUGGAAGACUGAACCACGCCAAUCAUCUUAAAAGUGUUGAUACAAGGGUCCUUACUUUUCGUUGGCAUAGCUGGAGAUGGCUAUCAGACCUCCAAAGGCCACCGACAGAGAGAAGAAGAUCUGGGUUGAGGCGUCUAACCACACCUGAGGGUUCUUCAGUAUCUCCCACUGAAAACGACACAUUCUUGUUAAUAGUUUGGAUCCAUCAUGCUAAAGUAUGUGCUAGCUAACUCACAUCAGGAGUGAAGAGAUAGACCAGUCCAUCUGUAGCUCCGGGCAGGGUGAGGGCACGGAUCAGGAAGAUGGUCAGGACCACGUAAGGCAGAGACGUCAGCUCUGACCUUCCCCAUGGUUUGGAUCCCUUUGAUGAAACAAACAUAGAUCAACAACCAGGCGCAGGCCAGGCAGACCACCAACCACCACUGCAGAGAACCGCUGGUCUCGAUGUCAGCCGUGAUGUUCAGUGUCUGACGGUACCAGAAGUAAUUGACUGGAGUGCUCUUCUCACAUUCAGCAUCCAAACCUGCCAAGUGAGGUAGGAAAGACUCGGUAUCUUCUUUUGGUUUUAGCCACCUGUCUUAUAUUUGGUCUUGCUUUCUUUGCAUUUACCCGUGCGAUUAACGUUGAGCGGACACUGGCUCCACGGGAGAGGGUUCUGGAAGGAGUUGAAAAAGUACCAGAACACCCAGGCCAGGAUGGUGUUGUAGAAAACGCACACCAGGAACGAUACAACCAUGGAGCCGAUGCCUAAUAUGGAGGAAGUGACGCACCAACUCCACCCAGGAAAGGUGAAAUGGACUUCCAGACGCCGAUGCUUCCUUUCCGCAGCCUCUGUCCGAUGGCCAUCUCCAGGUAGAGCAGCGGGAGACCUUCAAACGCCAACGCCAACAGGUAUGGGAUGAGGAACGCUCCUGAAGAUGGAAACAUUUCACACCGAAUAACCUUAAAUCAGCAUGGGUCAAAUAUAGGUAAAUAUAUCAUUAGAUAGCCAUGCUGCACUCCAGUGUAGUCAAUGUUUGUUCAGCUUGACCUUCACUGACAGCUAUGAGGAAGUAAAUGGGCUGUUAGGGGAGGGGGCGCUGCACAAAUGAUCAACAUAAACAUGGCAAGAUUAAAAAAAUAAAAAAAAAAAUAUAUAUAUCCGACUCACCUCCUCCAUAGAUUUGGCACAAGUAGGGAAAACGCCAGACGUUUCCAAUUCCCACCGCAAAACCGAUGGAGGUCAGCAUGUACUGGAUCUUGUUGUCCCAUUUGACUUCCUCCUCCACGGCUCCUCCUUUAGCUUUGGCCAUCUUGAGGCAAUCAAUCCCGCACUUGUUGCACUGGUUCCUUAAUUGGGAGCAUAAAAAAUGACUUGCGCUCCUCGCGUGUUUGCGGUCUUGAACGUGUGGGGAUGGCCUCUUAUCAGUCUUCCCCUCCUCUUGGGGGACGGGGGGGCUGUCCUUCAGUAUCCUAUCACCACCCUUCCAGUCAGGGAGCCAAUUUACUGCUUUGAAUGGCGUUGACUUUUAGUUGGCAACGGCACCAAACUGUUCAAAUACCCAAAUUAUGAAACCACUUUCAAGGUAAAUAAAAAUGCCAAAAUGACAAAAGUCACCAGGAAAGGUAUGAUGGUUUAGUGGAUAAAACCUUUCCGCUUGUUUAAGAUAUGAGCGUGCUAACUUUGCUGAUUAAUGGAUAACCGGUGAUGCCGUGGCAAAGUUACGCUGACCUCGAUCAAGACGAUGCAAAGCUAACAUGAAAGCAUAUUAUGCCUAGCAAGGUAGCGGAGUGUUUAUGAAAGCAAUGAGGUCAUCUGAGCAUGAUAUUCUGUACAUGCCGCAUUCAAUACCAGCUUCUUUGUUCUUUAUCUCAAACUCCUGUACAAGACGAGUUGUUCUCGUUUUUGCAACAUUGCACAUGCCUGCAAUUUAUCUUUUACUUUUCCUCCUCCUGUGGCGAUGUGACUCGGCAGUAUGCUUUUUUUAAAAAUUGUAUAUUCUAGCAUGACCCCCAUUUUGCCGAGGCUGGGGUCUCCUUGCACACAAUCUUGCAAGCUUUUUGUGCUGAAAUGUACAAGAUGCGGCGUCACGCCCCAUGAUCAAGGGAACAGCAUUUUUUAUACGUGCACUCGUGUUCACAGCCGACAAAGCCACAGAGGCAAAAAGCUCUUUAUUGAUGACCCACUUGUCAUAAAACACAGUAAACCUGGCCCCCACUGGAUCAAUAAAGAUGGGUAAUUGAAAAUGCUCCAGGCUAUUUUACUACUUAAUGUGUGCGGGCACAUGCGCCUGCCAGACAUGGACUUUGGUUUACACUUAGUGGUAUUUUUCCAUGAAAGUCACAGAAAUGUCAUCAGCGAAGGUAAACCACGUCUGCGGAAAAUCUGAUGCCGACACUUGCCCCUGUAUUUCAUAGUUGUGGAAUCAAAAUUUGUAGGACAAAUACUGUAGAUUUUCACAGGCCACAUUUGGCCUUUUAAUUGAUUUCCACGUUUGAAAGCUGGUGAUUAGCUCGUCGCUGCACCCAGGCUGGUGUUUCGAACAUCUCAAACUUGUACAGGGUGACAUUAGGGUGGGCGUAACACACCCUGAUGAGGUUGUAGAGAGCCACCAGCGGGAUGGAAAUCACAGGCAGCAAACAAACGAGGAUGAUGAUGGCAAACACCCAGUCUGGGUAGGUCUUCACCUCCGUUUGGGGAAAUAAUUCCUAAAGAGAGAUAAUACACGGAUGAAACUUGUGAGCUAACUGAACACGUUUUGCCACUCUUCUUACAUAAGCAGGGUUCCACGCGCCGUAUGUGGGCUGAUUCUUUGCCUCGAGGACCACAUACGCCACCAGAACCACGAAGAGCAUUAUGGGACUGAUGUAACUCCAGCAAAUCCUCCAGUAAAUAUUGGGCGUCUUCCCAGUCAUGAAGAAGAUGUCUUCAGUGAACCUGAAGGCACAGAGAAAGGCACAGCAAGAUGACAUUUGUACAAGAAGAUGUAUCCAGGAAAAAAAAAGGUUGACUACUCUUUCAAUCCGUGGACAUAAACGACUCCGACCACUUCAAAAAAUGCAACAAUGAGCAGGGGGAUGGAGCCCACGUAGCUGUUGAAGAUCCCCACCCAGUAGUUCCCAGAGCCCAUGGUGAAGAUGAGAGACACCAAAAGGGAGAGUAAGCAGACCACACCUGCAAAAAAAAAAAAAGGAGUAGAGUUCGCCCAGCAGAUGGCAGCAGACCGUAUUUCUACAAUCAUAGCCACCAAUGAAAACAUCUAACCUGUAAAAAGUUCAUUGGGGACACAUUUAGGCACCAGGUUGAGGUCAUGGAAAGAUUUAAGGACUCCCUCAAAGAUGCCAAACAUGGAGGACAGCCCUAAGCUGAAGAGCAUCAGGAAGAACAACGCCGCCCAUAAUUGUGAUCCAGGCAUCUCCAGCACUGCUUCGGUGAACGUGAUGAACGCCAGGCCGGUUCCUGAAGCGCUCUGAGAUAAAAAAAAUAAAUAAAUACACUGUUCAUAGGACCAAACAAGAUGGGAGACAACAUCACCUGGUCUAGGAAGGUUUUUAGGUCACAUGAUUUCAGAUUCAGUUUGCUCAUCUCAACAGGAAACGCCGAAGCCAUGUACUCCAGCUCGUCAUCGUAGUUUUCUGUUGUUAUAUUCUCGGACGCAAAAACCAAGGUGCUCUUCAAAAAAUGGAUGUUUCUGCGGAACAAACAUUCUACAUCAUCCAUCACAUUCCCGUCAGGAAGCUUGGAAAUGAUCUUACUCUUCUCUGCAGCUGUUCAAGGCAUUGUUGGCUUUAAAGCCCAGGAUGGAAAAGACGGAGAUGGAUGCGUAAAGGGAUGUGGCACUGUUUAUUAUUCCCACCAUGACUGCAUCCUUCUCGCAGUUGUUUCUAAAAACACAAAACCGGACCAAUCAAAUUGGGAGUUGGAGUGACUCCCAACAACUGGAAGCUUGCCUUGUUGAUCCUUACAGCUGGUUAUUGUAGCUGGAGAACGCUAUCAGACCUCCAAAUGCUACCGACAGAGAGAAGAAGAUCUGUGUUGCGGCGUCUAACCACACUUGAGGGUCCUUGAGUAUCCCCCACUGAGGACAAGAACUAGCUUAUCUUGCGUCCAUCAUGCUAAACUAUGUGCCAGCUAACUCACAUCAGGAGUGAAGAGAUAGACCAGUCCAUCUGUAGCUCCGGGCAGGGUGAGGGCACGGAUCAGGAAGAUGGUCAGGACGAUGUAAGGCAGAGGGGUUGUCACAUACACAGCCUGUGACACAAAAGCGCAUUUAAUUGCAAGGACUUGUCUUAUAUUUUCAGUCCACUGACCUUUCCCAUUGACUUGAUCCCUUUGAUGAAACAGAGGUAGAGCAUCAACCAGGCGCAGGUCAGGCAGAUCACCAACUUCCACUGCAGAGGCCCGCUGGUCUCGAUGUCCGGCGUGAUGUUCAGCGUCUCACGGUACCAGAAGUAGUUGGCUGGAGUGCUCGUCUUACAUUCUGCCGUCGCAUCUGCAUGAGUACACCAGGUAUGGUCGGUUACUCUACAACAGGGGUCUCAAACUCAAUUUACUUGGGGGCCACUGGAGCUAAGGUCUGGGUGAG
Molecule: non-coding RNA, 8824 nt
Organism: Doryrhamphus excisus (bluestripe pipefish)
Lineage: Eukaryota; Metazoa; Chordata; Actinopteri; Syngnathiformes; Syngnathidae
Source: RefSeq, a predicted model, not a curated record